This is a non-coding RNA of Aegilops tauschii subsp. strangulata, 3546 nucleotides long. The record is from RefSeq and is a predicted model, not a curated record. NCBI's taxonomy places the organism in Eukaryota, Viridiplantae, Streptophyta, Magnoliopsida, Poales, Poaceae.
UAUUUGUGUUACAACCACAUCCACUUUCCCCAUCACCUACUUUUUCACAACCAACGUUUAAAUCAGACACUGUUUCACAAUUCACACCCUACAAUCAAUGCGAUGUCCAAAAGUCAUCCAUUAAGUCUUUGUUUUGGAAACUUUACAGACCAAUUAACACUGUGGACCCACCAUGCUGCCAUAUUAAGAACAGUAAAACUGAGCCUAAACCGAGCUCUCUCACGCCCCCAGCGAUUUCGGCCGUCGGAUUAUGCAUUUAGAUCGUUUCUCACCGUCAGAUCACGUUUCAGCGCCAGAUUACCGCGACUGGGCCGCCUGUCCUGAUGGGCAGCUAUUCUGGAGACUUUUUUGAAGGCCUGUCUUUGAUUGGGCCUCAACGGCCCAUUUAUCAUCUGCAGCCGAGGAGGCGAAGCUAGCGAGGGAACCGGUGGUCGACGGGAUCCAGCGGAUGCCAGCCGCGCAAGAGGGAUCUAGCUCAAGGGAGCCGAUGAGACGCGUGCGGGGCAACCGGCGGUCCGGGGGAUCCAGCCAAGGCGAGGCGUCUGAGGGGAUCCGGCGCUCGAGCGGCUGCCUCCAGGUCAGUUCGCUCAUCUUCCCUCCCCUUCUCUCUCAGGUCCUGAAGGCGGCAGCGGCAACGAGCCGGCGACGCCUCCGCUGAGGUUGCGGCGAUGGAACCCGCGCGAGGUGGUGCUGGGCGGGGCGAGCGUGCGGCAUGGGCCGCUGGCCUUUGGAACACAUAUCUACAUCCAUAGCUCUGGCGGCGACGGCGGCGGUAGCGGAUGACGUCUCAUCCUGCUCCUAGCCGGCGAUGGUGGAUCAACGCCUAUUCUAAUUUAACCCUCCUCUCUUCUUCUUGUACAGGGUAUGGACAGGUGCAAACUGUUCUUGUGUACACAUCAGUCAGCUAUUCACAUAUAAGAAAUCAUUUCGUUAAAAGGUGCACGCAUCCCAAGCGAACACGGAGUGAAAAACUGGGAGGAGAAUAUAGACGCAUCUUAGCCAGUUGGCUCGUGUUUGGGGAUCAGUGCAAGUUUAAUCGGAAUGAUUUUCAAUGUCUCAAUACAGCAGCCGUGAGUAUGUAUACACGGUUUCAACCUGUCCAAGAGUCCAUACACAUUUAAGGCAGGGUGCACAUGUCCGUACAAAAUCGGGCACUGAUUCAUUUAUGAACUUUCUAGAAGCCAUUUAUUAGCUGGACUCUCAGAAUGCAUCUACAGCAAUAAUACUUUUAUUAUGUGCGCAGCCGUCGCAUGCCUACAUCACAAACCAAACAUAUAUCUUUUCAAAUCAUUUGUUGAUUCAUCUCUGCCGUCAGUUAUUUGUAGUUUGAUUUGGUAACAAUGACGAGAAGUUGUAAUCCUCUUUCAGGCACCAGUUCAGUACACGUUGGAAGAAGGUUUGGAGAGACCGACCCCAUGUGUCAACUACAGUAUGUUCGACGAAAUGUGGAGCGUGGUUUUAAAUGGAGAUUCUUGGUAUCACGUGUCAGGACGUAAGUCACUAGGAAAGGAAAAGGGUGACGAGUUAACAGCUUCCUGUGCAACGGAAGCGUGAAAUGAUGUCGUGAAAUCUCACGAUUAGCCUGUUGCGAUUCAAGAUUAGAGAAGUGACAGUAUGUAUCUUUCUAAUGAAUGAAUACAAAGGAAUUCCGCUCAGCGUAUUAUUCUGUGUUUUUAUGUCACGCAUAGUAGUUAAUCAAAUGAUGUGUUAAUUUGAGAAAUGAUUUGCAUGGACAACAAGCUUUCUUCAACGAAUCAACGUAGGCCGAUGAAAACUCGUGGAGUACCACAUGCAUGGUAAAGUUGUGCGCUGAGGGUCCCACAUGCAUGCAUGCAAUUUCUGAACACAAGUUACUCCUAAUUCAUUAAUGCUUUGCGUGUCUGGGAUAGAUAUGUCAACAUGAUGAUCCCGUCGUUGAUGAUGAACAUGUCACUCCCACUCCAAAUCAGCCUAUUGUUCACCCAGUUGGAAUCUCGCACGUGACAGAGUUAGGCGGGGGAUUAAUAAACCCGACAGGUUAAUUGAAGAGUGCAAUAUUGUUUCUUUUGCUUUAUCUGUUGCAGAAGAAAUUGAAGGUAAUGCUGAGCCUUUUUCGUAUUCCGAGGCUAUUAUUUCUGGUGAUAAUAAUAAGUGGAUGACCGCUAUGCAUGAUGAGAUGGAAUCACUUGAAAAGAAUGGCACUUGGGAUUUAGUAAGAUUACCUAGAGAGAAGAAACCUAUUCAUUGCAAGUGGGUUUUCAAGAGGAAAGAAGGUGUUUCUCCUAAUGAUGAGACAAGAUAUAAAGCAAGAGAUUAAUGACCUAAAGAAGCAAUUGAGUAAUGAAUUUGAGAUGAAGGAUUUGGGUGCAGCAAAGACAAUACUUGGCAUGGAAAUAUCCAGAGAUAGACCAUCUGGAAAAGUAUAUCUAAGUCAGAAGGGAUAUAUUGAUAAAGUUCUUCGUCGUUUUAAUAUGCAUAAUGCCAAGCCGGUAAGUACCCCGUUAGCUACACACUUCAAAUUAUCAUCACCUUUAUGUCCUAAGUCAGAUGCCGAUAUUGAGUACAUGUCUAGAGUUCCCUAUUCAAGUGUAGUUGGUUCACUUAUGUAUGCCAUGGUUUUUUCUCGUCCGGAUUUAUCAUAUGCUUUGAGUGUUGUCAGUAGAUACAGGGCUAAUCCUGGAAAGGAGCAUUGGAAAGCAGUUUAGUAGAUUUUCAUAUACCUGCGUGGUACUUCUAAUGCUUAUUUACAAUUUGGGAAAACUGGAGAUGGACUUGUUGGAUUUAUUGAUUAUGAUUUUGCUGGUGAUUUUGAUAAGAGAAGAUCACUCACAGGUUAUGUUUUCACCAUUGGUGGUUGUGCUGUGAGUUGGAGAGCAACUUUGCAGUCUAUUGUGGCUUGUUCCACUACUGAUGCCGAGUAUAUGGCUAUUUCUGAGACAUGCAAAGAAGCUAUCUGGUUGAGAGGUUUGUACGCUGAGCUUUGUGGAGAUUCAUAUUGCCCUACCGUAUUUAGUGACAGUCAAAGUGCUAUAUAUCUUACAAAGAAUCCAAUGUAUCAUGAGAGAACAAAGCACAUUGAUGUCAGAUAUCACUAUAUUCGAGAUGUUGUUGCUGAAGGUGAUUUGAAGGUAUGCAAGAUAAGUACUCAUGAUAAUCCAGCUGAUAUGAUGACAAAGCCAGUUCUUACCAAUAAGUUUGAGCUUUGCUCAGGCUUAGUUGGUAUUUCUCACUAGUCCGAUGGACUUUGACGCACAAGGUGUUUAUGCUGAUUUGGAUGGAGUUAUUCACUUCCUUCGACUACUGGAGGGAAUUGGGAUCAAGGUGGAGAUUGUUAAAUUGUGAUCCAAAUUCUAGUACCAUAUUGGACUAGACGUAGUACAUACGGUGUGGGCCUUUGCGUUGGUACCGACACGUACGAGUACAACUCGUUUACUUAUCCUCCAAGGACUCUUAUGUAUUGCCCUCAUAUAUACCCCAUGUAGUCGCACCUAAAGACGGUCUGUCGUCUCGUGCUUGUAAUACUCCUCCUCAUAGUGAUUGCGCCUUCUUGUGUGCGUGGUUUUCUCC